GCGCCUAUAGCUCAGCCUGGUAGAGCAGCUGCCUUUUAAGCAGACGGUCGCAGGUUCGAAUCCUGCUGGGCGCACCA
This 77-nucleotide transfer RNA is filed under the name Candidatus Komeilibacteria bacterium CG_4_9_14_0_2_um_filter_36_13. RNAcentral's name for it is "tRNA-Lys". It matches the Rfam family "tRNA". From Rfam's summary of the family: Transfer RNA (tRNA) molecules are approximately 80 nucleotides in length. Lineage: Bacteria; Candidatus Komeiliibacteriota. RNAcentral also lists the same sequence under 2 other names. The record is from RNAcentral.